UUUUAGUAGGAUUGCGUGAGGGAUGGCAGUGGAAAGCCCACAGCGCGGAGGUACGACAAGCGCGGACUUGAAACGGACAGCCCGACCCCGC
Molecule: unclassified non-coding RNA, 91 nt
Filed under: Flavobacterium fontis
Lineage: Bacteria; Pseudomonadati; Bacteroidota; Flavobacteriia; Flavobacteriales; Flavobacteriaceae
Description: Flavo-1 RNA
Source: RNAcentral